AUGCAAGCCCUGAGUCUCCACACGCGUGCUGGGGCCGGAGGGCAGAAGGGCGGGGCCCGAGGAGGCGUGCCCAGCCUGCGACAGUGGAAGCCCUGAUCCAGACGGGGGGAGGCUUGCCACAGCUCCCCUUCAGAUUCGGUUCCAAGAAGGGAUCGCACAGGGAGCAGCCUGCUCCCCCGGGAGCUCGAGAGCCAGCAAUGUUGGUGAGUAACCUGCCAUUCUGGUCAAUACAUCAAGCUGGUAUGAGUUUGUUUAACAUGGGUCAGACUCCAAACCCCAAUCCUUUCUGGAUCUAAGGCCACAAGAGGCUGCAUGCACAAGACCUGUUUAUUAUGAACUGUGGCCCAGGAUUAGAACUGCCUUAACAAAGAGGGGGGCAGCACCCCUGCUUCUCCUGCUUCUCCUCCUACCCCCCCCCUUCUGUACCACACAGACAUUCUGUGUCUAGACCCCUUGUCUGUGUUACAGUUCAGCUUCAUCAAGGACGAAAUGUCUUCAGAGGACACCCUGAGCCCCCUCCACCACUGUUGUUUCUAUGAGAAAAACAUCAAUUCCCACAGCUGAUCCUCAAAUGAAGUUUGGACCGUGACCCGGCGAUAACUCGGGGACAUUUUGUUCCUGUAAAUUGGUCUUUCUAGCCAGCGUCUGGGAGCUGGCUGGGAAACGCACUUAGUAAAUCACACGUAGAAGGACAGAGAAGGUUCUAGAAGAGAUGAGUCAGGCUCGGGGGUGGGUCGAGUGGAGGGGAGAGGAACAGAGAGCCGAGCUGUCCUGUGACAGUGGAAUUUUUACCAGAAGCGACUGUAUGGUCAGGCCCAGCGGAAGACGGGGUGGUGAGGCAAAUCCCAGCCAAGGGAUCUUUAAAAGCCUCUCUCAGUGAGGCCGGUCCUUCUCGGUGAUGGAGGGGCUAUAAAUCACACGCUCUGCCCGGCAUCUCCAUCAGGCCUUCCUCUCCGCUCCGGAGCUGGGAGUGAAGUCCAGUUGCCACAAGGAAUCGGCACCUGAUGUGGCGGUCCCCCCACCCCCAGGCGCCCUGCCCGGAGGCUCAAGAUGAACGUGAGGAAGUCACACUGGCUCUAAGGACAAAGAUUUGCAGAAACGGUAGAGCUGAUCGUACACGCAGAACUACCACGUUCUUGGCAGACAUCUCCUCCCUUCACGCAUCUUAGAGCAGAAGGCGCAGCUGCAACCUGAGAGAACAUGGUCCUAAAAGCAGAAUCCUCAUGAUGGGGAAGUCAAGGACUGAUUGCUUUAGAUGAAGAAAAUGGUUAAAUCACUUGAAUAGAAUGCCCCUAUCGCAUCUGUCUACUCCCGACACUGACAGAUCACUGCCUGGCGCAGUCACCAUGGGAACAAGGCUGUAGAUAACUCGUACCACGGUGUUAACUGGGUUAAUUUUGUGUAGAAAAAAAUCGCCUCGGUUCAAAAGAAGCUGGUUCCUUUAAAUAUCUGAUUACGGAGCCCGGCUAACUCACUCACACAGAGAGCUCCGGGGGAGGGGGAAGGGAAGUGACGGGGAUGGAAAACAGCUGAGGAAUAGUGACAUCAGAUGCUCCCAGUACAAUAGCCAGAGAGAGGACGCCAGCCAGGCAGAACGUUAGAGGUAACGGAAGGGACCUGGAGCAUAUUUAUAUUUUGUAGAAUGCAGUUUGCUCCAGAAAUGGAAAUUAUUCCAGGAAGGUCAGAGAGAAGACGCUGCUGUAGAUGGAAAGUGCAGCUGAGCAGAAACCCCAGGACCCAAAAAAGAAUCGGAUCAUGACACUGUGACUCUAAGUAACUUAUCGACUGCAGAGCAGGACUUUCAGCGGACUUACGCCCUGGGGCUUUGCCCUGUAAAAACGGCUGAGCAGGUCAAAGCAGAGGCGCCACACAGUAGGAACUGCAUACUGUCUCUUCUUAUUGUGCACUUUUAUUUUCUAUUUAACUUGCACAUGCCAUUUAUUUGUUUUUUUAAAAUUGAGAUAUAAGAUACUACCAAAAAAGGUCAAAUGUGUAAAGUAUACGUAUCUAUGUGUAUAGCUUCAUGAAUCUCACAUAUAUGUAUAUAAACAUACAUCAAUGUAAUCAACAUCCAGAUCAAGAUACAAAAUACUUCCCCCACCCUAGAAAGCUCCCCAGCGAUGCCCAGCAAGCCCACCAGAAGGAAAGGGCAUCCUUACUUCGAGCACCUGAGUUAGUUCUGCCUGUCCUCGAUAAACGCGAGAAAUGAGUCAGGCAGCAUUCGCUUCUGGCUUUUUACUCAACACAAGGUGUGUAAGAUUCAUCCACGUUAUUGUGCACAUCAGUCGUUGGUCUUUAAUGUUGUGGUUUACAUUGUGUUGGAUGACUAUACUCCUCAUUUAUUGAUCUCUUCUCCCAUUGACGGACAUUUGUGCUGUGUCCAGCUUGAGGCAAUUAGGAAUAAAGCUUCGGUGAAAAUUGUUAUGCGA
This is a long non-coding RNA of Equus caballus (horse), 2429 nucleotides long. RefSeq lists it as uncharacterized. Lineage: Eukaryota; Metazoa; Chordata; Mammalia; Perissodactyla; Equidae. The record is from RefSeq and is a predicted model, not a curated record.